RNAcentral lists this long non-coding RNA (1368 nucleotides) under Macaca mulatta (Rhesus monkey). RNAcentral describes it as "lncRNA (ENSMMUG00000059615.1)". Lineage: Eukaryota; Metazoa; Chordata; Mammalia; Primates; Cercopithecidae. The record is from RNAcentral.
CUGGGACUUGGAGCUCUGAGCAAUCAUUUGCAAAACACUGGGCUGUCAGUAUCUGAUGGACUUGCUCAUAUCUGAGAAUCUGUGAUUCGUGAUUAUGUGACUGUAGAUAAUGAAGGAAACGUCCCCAGGUUCCUGCCCUAUCCUCCACCUAACUUGGCAGCAUAGAGUAACAAAUAAGGAUGAGGAGAGACCUGACAGGUGUGCUGAAUUUAAAUGCACCCAGGGGUCAUCAGUGAAAUGUACACGCCCAAGCCCAACAUAAAUCAUUCAUUCCUUCAUUCCUCCAACAAAAAUUGACUGCUAGGCACAGCAGAUUGUAUGCAGGAAAGUAAUUCACAGCCUUUAUUCUUAAAGAGGUUUGGGUUUUAUGUAAGAAAAUCUGACAUCUAAAUACAAAAAAAAAAAAUUAUAAACACUUCCAAUAUAAUGUUUUUCAGAUUUUCAUGAUCAAGAGCCACCCUUUCCAGCAAGAAUCACCAUCAAUGGCUUCAUGGAAGAAGCAGCAUUUGAAGAAUAGUGUGAUUUUGAUAGGUGGAGCUGGGAGAGGAGAGCACUUCAGAAUGAGGAAGCAGCGUGUUCAAAGGCCCGGGGGCCGUGUGGUCAUACAGGCUGAACCGUAUUCACCUCUUGGAAGCACAUUCAGGCAACACGGGGCUCAAUGCGAGAGAAAGCUAAAAAUGCAACUUCCUUGUGGCAAACAUGGGCAACGAUUAGAAGAGCAAGGAAGGGGAAUUCCCCCCGGCCCCAUAUUUUCCAGCUGAGCUGUCCUCGUCAGGCUAAACAGCGACAAAAAUAAUCACAGUUGCUUGCCACUUGGAAUAUUAUUAUCUGAACAGUUGGUGGAUGUGAACUGUUUUUAAAACAGGCUAUCAAAACAAACCCAGGGAGAACAUCUGUGGGGCCACGGGCCUGCGAGUCAGCUGAGGAAGGAAGCCAUAACCCAGCAGCCUCUCCAUCAAGUGUCCUUGCAGGGUAGGCAAGGGGGCGUCCCAAAGAUCACCAGGGUGGGGUGGGAUGGCCCAGGGUGGGAGGAGGCAAAAACAGGAAAGCAAGGGUCCAGCAUGCAAACCAAUUCAGAGCAAUAUACAGAAAUGCAACUUCUAGAAACAAUGAGGCGUAGGUAACGUGGGACCUCGAGCAGCGAUGGGAGGAUGGGGUAGCUGCAGGCUCCACUGAAAUCGCUUUAGGGCCUGGGGACAUCUGCAGUGAAAACAUCGCAUGUUAUUUUUAGCCAUAAGUUGAAAUCCAUGUUAUUUAGUAUGAUGUUUAUAAAAAAUAAAUGGUAGGCAGCCUUUCCUUCCUUGCUUCUCCAGCCGUCGAAGAAACGUUUUUAGGUGCAUACUUCUCUGCUUUGUUUAGCUUAUUUUG